UAGGGAAUAUUGGGCAAUGGACGCAAGUCUGACCCAGCCAUGCCGCGUGCAGGAUGAAGGCCUUCUGGGUUGUAAACUGCUUUUAUCUAGGAAGAAAAAACCCUUGCGAGGGGAACUGACGGUACUAGGUGAAUAAGCACCGGCUAACUCCGUGCCAGCAGCCGCGGUAAUACGGAGGGUGCAAGCGUUGUCCGGAUUUAUUGGGUUUAAAGGGUGCGUAGGCGGCCCGUUAAGUCCGUGGUGAAAGCCAACAGCUCAACUGUUGAACUGCCAUGGAUACUGACGGGCUUGAGUACAGACGAGGUAGGCGGAAUGGAUGGUGUAGCGGUGAAAUGCAUAGAUACCAUCCAGAACACCGAUUGCGUAGGCAGCUUACUAGGCUGUA
RNAcentral lists this ribosomal RNA (385 nucleotides) under uncultured bacterium. Its description in RNAcentral is "bacterial SSU rRNA". It matches the Rfam family "Bacterial small subunit ribosomal RNA", at positions 355 to 738 of the family's 1533-position model. The record is from RNAcentral.